UUCAUUAAAAAUUUAAAUUAAAAUGCAGAGCCCCCUGGACCGGUGGCCAGGACCCGGGCAGUGUGAGUACCACUGAAAAUCAGCUUGCAUGCUGCAGGUUGUCUACCCCUGCUCUAGCCAAACAGAUUGGCAUGGGAGAAGCAGUUGCUUUCUCAUCAGGCUGUUGCCCUGGACCGUUCUCCCUAUAUCCCCCGCCCCUUAUCUCGUAUAGGUCUGUGGAAUUAAUUCUAUACGUAAUGGCCACCUUGUAAAAUUUUAAUACCAUUUUUGUGAGGGGGUAUGGGAUGUGGUCAGGCAAAUGAAUGACAUAGGGAAAGAGUGGGAGAUUGAUGGGAUAAGCUAGGAAAGAGAAUUACAGGGUGUGCAUAUAAAAUAUGAGAGAGAAACAGAUUUGUGGGGUAUAUGGAAGAAAAGAAACCAAAAUGUACAGGGCAGGAGGUAGAGCUCUCAGUGAAGAGAAAGAGAGGUUAGGAGAUGGAGAAUGGGAGAAGGUAAACAGGAAACGCUUUGAAAAUGACCUGAGAAACGUCACCCUGAUCUGUUACAGGAAAGAGAAGGUAAAGUGAAGCCAUGUAGGAAAAUGCCUAACCAAAAGCAAGAAAAGGGUGGGGGAGUAUGCAUGUGCUGUUGAUUGUGAUCUGCUUUACACAGAAUUAAAUGUUGUGCUAAAGUUACAAGUGACAUGCAACUCACUCACUCCUAUUAUCUCCCUGUGGCACAUCAUAAUAGCUUAGUUUCCUGUGGGAUGUGAUACUUAUGUCUGUGUUUGAGUUUAGCAUGCAGGAGCUCGGUGCUGUCAGUGGUUUGACUAGAUUAUCUGGUGAUCCCUUCUUCCCUGAACUGUAGGACUCUUCGGGUGCAAGCUAAAGCGAGAUGAGCCAUGUUGAAUCUGAUAUGAAUGUCUGCAUAUGCUGGUUUAACACGGCUGCUACUCUGAAACAUGUUAAACUCAAUUAGUUAAUCAGUUCAGCAUCACAUCUUUAGGUGAAUUGGUAUAACUUCUUUGUGUAGCCUGUAGCUCAUGAAAGCUUAUGCUCUAAUAAAUUUGUUAGUUUCUGAGGUGCCACAAGUACUCCUUUUUUUUUUUUUUUACGGAUACAGACUAACACAGCUGCUACUCUGUAACCCACUGGAGUUCAUCAAUUGAUAUUCAACUGAUAGUUUUCUUUGUGGUAUUCAGUCAUGGUGGUCACAUUCUGCUUGGUGACUAUCAUAUGGUGGAAUGUAUUGAAUAACAUAGCCAAUGUCUUUUUCCUGCCAGUUGACCAGCCCUAGUAGUAAGAUGUGUGCUUUUAAAGUUUGAUAGUUAAUUUGAUUGUAUUCUGCUCAGGGUAGGGAGUGCCCUCUUCUGUGUUUUGGAAAACACCAUACACGGGUGCUGUUGCAAUAUAUAAUAAAGAUUGAUUGAUGAUAAUACAAUUACAGUAUCUAACUGUUCCUCUAACUUUAAGUUGCAAGAGGCGCAGUAGCAUGUAUUUUCACCACGGCAAAUCCCUUUACUAGCAGUUGUCAAGUAAAUUUUCAAGGCCUGACUUACUCACUGAAAUCACUUGUGUUUGCCAUGCAGUUUCUUAUAGAAUGCUUUUAAUUAACUAGAAGCACAGGUGGAAAUUUUCUUAAUGCUGAAAUAUGUAGCAUUUGCUUUUGAUACAUACUUUGAAACUUUUCACACUCCAUCUAGAAAACCUUUCAUAGGAACUUCAUAGCAAUACAAGUUGUGAUCUCAUCUGCUCAUCUCAUCAAGCAGGAACAGUAUACAGUGUGAAUAGGAACCCUCCAACUACAAAGUAAAAUCCACGUGCUGCAGGAAGUACUGUUGGUGAAUCAAUAGAUGGCACUUUUCCCUCCAAGAUAUGUCUACACUGCAUUUAGAUACCUACAGCUGAUGUGGGCUAAGGGGCUGUUUAAUUGUGAUGUAGACAUUCGGGCUCCUAGCAGAGUCCUAGAGCCUGGGCUCCAGCCCAAACGGCUACAUCGCAAUUAAAUAGCCCCUUAGCCUGAGUCAGCUGGCACGGACCAGCCAUGGGUUUUUAAUUGUAGUGUAGACAGACCCUAAGUCAUUACUUAACCAAGAUCUCCACUGUAGUGCUAGACAGCAGUCUGCUGUGAAGUUACCUUUUUUAGGAGAAAUCAUACAACUGAGGGGUCUCACUAAUUGUAAUCCUUGAAGAUCCCAAAGCAUUAUAUAUAUCAGGAAAGACUAUCCUAAUUGGCUGUAAUUGAUGUGAAAGGCUUAUCCACUGUUGGCCAGUUUUGAAACUAGAAAAGUUAUUUACUUGCGAUAUGAAAUUCAACUGUAAGUUUAAACUUUUCAAAUUUUUUGGUGUAUUCAUUAAUAUGGAGGUUUUGUGCCCUAUUAAGUAGCUGCCAUGUUCCUCCCUGCAAGUAUGGAGGGACAGGUGUUUGUAUGUGUAUUGUAAAGGCCUGUGAAAUCCUUUGGGAGGGAAGGUGCUACUGGGUAUCAGUGUAAGAUGUUCAUGGUUUUAACAUUCUAUUCCACUGCAAGUACCAGAGAAGGAAAUUCUGCAUGACACCAGUGGUGCCUCUGCUGGGGAAUGUGCCUGGCCUGUCAUAUACCUUCUCCUUGUGGUUGGAUCAGAAAGCCUUUUCAGCACCAUGAAGGCAGCCACAUGCCAAAGAGUAAAGCGUCAGGUGGUGCUAAUUUCACUGACUAGCAAACAAUGCUUUGUACUUGUUGCUGGCACAGUCAAAGCUUUGCUUAGUUUGUCUGACUACUAUCAAGACUUGCUCCUUAGUUUAUUUGUAGGCUUCCCUGUGGUGCUAAUCACCAUCAUAACUGAGCUCAUCAUUACUAGUCACCUAUUCCAUGAAAAAACUGAGGUUAGUAAUGUGAGACGCUAAUCUAAGGUGCUUGGAUACCAUCAUACAAGAAUUUAGAGCCCAUACUGUGGGGUUGAGAUGAAGGGGGUGGUGACAGGAAAGCCAAAACCACUAGAGGGAACAGAGGAAAAGUGGUGAGCAGAUGCCAAGAAGAGACCCUGGAUACUUCAGUGGCAAAUACUUAAACUCAAUUAUCUUCAGAAAAUAUUUUAAAGUCCCAAUUUUCAGAAUGUGAUUUCUGCAGUAGCAAACGGGCUGUUCUUGGCAAAAUGAGUACAUCCUCUUCCCCCAUGCCAGGAAAGGCUCUGCUCACUCUUCACUUCAGGAGAGUGGAAUCCUUCAAACAGGAUUUCUGUCUUUUGAGAUGCAUGCUACAAAAUGGUAGAGUUUUAGUAUGAAUUUAGGGUUCGUGUGCACAAGUUUGGGCCACUUUAUGUGGGUUAUAGGCUGGUUUUUGAAUGGUGUCUUAAGGGCAGAGGAGGUCUCCAAUUCAGUGUAGUCUCCUCUUACAAACCUAAGGUCGCACAACUGCAGUAGGAUGGGCAACAUGAAUCCUGUCAAAGUGUGAUUCUUAACACCACCUCUCUAUCCACUGAAUUAAACUCACUUCCUUAUAAAAUGUAACCAGUAUGCUUCAAAAAAAACUGUCUUAAUUGUCUGUCUUCCACUUCACAAAGCGUAACAGUAUUGGGCAGAAUAGUACUUGGAAAAGUGAACUCCACAAAGUGUCCCAUCCCACCAAAAGAAAGGUUUGCAUAUGAACUGUGACUCUUCACAUAUGCAAGAGAAAUUGUGCAAGGCAAUAUAUUGCAUGAAAAUCUAUUAAAUACUAUUGAUCAAACAUGAAGAUAUAUGUAAAACAUUAACUUAAUACAUCAAGCUAAUAGCUUUCACGUAUUAGUAGCCUAACAAAUAGUCCCAUGAGGUCAAGAAUCUGGCUGUUUGUAUUUACCAUAUAAUGAAUACCGAGAACUGCUUUAAGAGGUCAGGGCAGAUACUGUAGGGUUAAUGGAUCAGCCUACUCUGUAUAGGAGUUGAUCUAGCACUCCUGACGUUCAAACACUGCUUGUUUUUUCAGACUAUAAUUGUGUCCCUGCCAAGGUUUCAUUGGCACAUCUUAUGCUACUUAUGCACAUUUCAUUGCUACUCUAAGUGACACAGGUCAUAAAUAAAACAAGGGAGAGCACAGGAGAUGUUACUGAAGCAAGUACAAUUUAAAAAAUCCCAAGUUUGAAAAAAGCAGUUGUUCUCCAUUUUCCCUGAUAACCCACAAACUAGGCAGCCUUGCUACUAGGAUCAGAGAAACUGGCCUAACCCAUACACUUACUAUCCUUGCAGCUCCCUCUACCUUCUUGUGACUUUUAGGAACUCUGUGUUAGCUCUGUGUGCUGUGAACUUUAUUGAUGACCAAUUGUGCUCAUUUGUCUGAUUGAUCUGUACUCUUACUGCCCCCUGAAAAUAUUAAAUGCUCAUCUUUCCUCUUAUUAGUCUGACUUAAAUACGCUAAUGGUGAUCUAUUGUACAGUUAAUGAUAUUUCGUAAGUGACAUAUAGCCUAUUCUCUGUUUUUCUAUAUUAAGGCAUCAGUUUCAGGAAAGUCCUUAAGCCAGCCCUUUGGGCUUUAUCACAUGAUUGAAAUACAGUGAUUUCUUUUUGCUCUCUGCCCCCCAGGCUUUAGGUCUGAUACUGGGAAAUUUUAACUUGUGUAAUUUUUAACUGUCUC
Long non-coding RNA from Dermochelys coriacea (leatherback sea turtle), 4563 nucleotides. RefSeq lists it as uncharacterized. The transcript is spliced from 3 exons. The record is from RefSeq and is a predicted model, not a curated record. Lineage: Eukaryota; Metazoa; Chordata; Testudines; Dermochelyidae.